GGAGAUAUAGCUCACCUGGUAGAGUGCUUUGCCUUGCAUGCACAAGGCCCUGGGUUUAAUUCCCAGUACCACAA
RNAcentral lists this transfer RNA (74 nucleotides) under Marmota monax (woodchuck). Its description in RNAcentral is "tRNA.Ala". It matches the Rfam family "tRNA". From Rfam's summary of the family: Transfer RNA (tRNA) molecules are approximately 80 nucleotides in length. Lineage: Eukaryota; Metazoa; Chordata; Mammalia; Rodentia; Sciuridae. The record is from RNAcentral.